AGCUUCUUAGCGCAGUGGAAGCGCGCGGGGCUCAUACCAUUACGUAAUGGCUUGUCACCCCGAGGUCCUCGGAUCGAGACCGAGAGAAGCUA
This 92-nucleotide transfer RNA is filed under the name Rhizoctonia solani. RNAcentral's name for it is "tRNA-Met". It matches the Rfam family "tRNA". Rfam says of the family: Transfer RNA (tRNA) molecules are approximately 80 nucleotides in length. Their secondary structure includes four short double-helical elements and three loops (D, anti-codon, and T loops). The record is from RNAcentral. Lineage: Eukaryota; Fungi; Basidiomycota; Agaricomycetes; Cantharellales; Ceratobasidiaceae.